Molecule: non-coding RNA, 26 nt
Filed under: Mus musculus (house mouse)
Lineage: Eukaryota; Metazoa; Chordata; Mammalia; Rodentia; Muridae
Source: RNAcentral
CCAAGAUGAGCCUUUCUCUGAAGUUC